Molecule: ribosomal RNA, 247 nt
Filed under: uncultured bacterium
Lineage: Bacteria
Description: partial 16S ribosomal RNA
Rfam family: Bacterial small subunit ribosomal RNA
Source: RNAcentral
AUACGUAGGCAGCAAGCGUUGUUCGGAGUUACUGGGCGUAAAGGGUGCGUAGGCGGUUCUCUAAGUUUGGUGUGAAAUCUCCCGGCUCAACUGGGAGGGUGCGCCGAAAACUGGGGAGCUAGAGUGUGGGAGAGGUGAGUGGAAUUCCUGGUGUAGCGGUGAAAUGCGUAGAUAUCAGGAGGAACACCGGUGGUGUAGACGGCUCACUGGACCAUUACUGACGCUGAGGCACGAAAGCGUGGGUAGC